Molecule: non-coding RNA, 114 nt
Organism: Acanthosepion pharaonis
Lineage: Eukaryota; Metazoa; Mollusca; Cephalopoda; Sepiida; Sepiidae
Source: the annotation of a GenBank genome assembly
CUUGCGGUCAUACCAGGUUAAAAAACCGAUCCUCGAACGAUCGCCGGAGUUAAGCAACGUUGAGCCUGGUCAGUAAUUAUAUGGGUGAGUGCUUGGAAAUACGAGAUGCUGUAA